UUGGUGACCAGCGGAGGGAUCAUUACCGAGUUUACAACUCCCAAACCCAAUGUGAACGUUACCAAACUGUUGCCUCGGCGGGAUCUCUGCCCCGGGUGCGUCGCAGCCCCGGACCAAGGCGCCCGCCGGAGGACCAACCAAAACUCUUAUUGUAUACCCCCUCGCGGGUUUUUUACUAUCUGAGCCAUCUCGGCGCCCCUCGUGGGCGUUUCGAAAAUGAAUCAAAACUUUCAACAACGGAUCUCUUGGUUCUGGCAUCGAUGAAGAACGCAGCGAAAUGCGAUAAGUAAUGUGAAUUGCAGAAUUCAGUGAAUCAUCGAAUCUUUGAACGCACAUUGCGCCCGCCAGUAUUCUGGCGGGCAUGCCUGUCCGAGCGUCAUUUCAACCCUCGAACCCCUCCGGGGGGUCGGCGUUGGGGAUCGGCCCUUUACGGGGCCGGCCCCGAAAUACAGUGGCGGUCUCGCCGCAGCCUCUCCUGCGCAGUAGUUUGCACACUCGCAUCGGGAGCGCGGCGCGUCCACAGCCGUUAAACACCCCAAACUUCUGAAAUGUUGACCUCGGAUCAGGUAGGAAUACCCGCUGAACUUAAGCAUAUCAAUAAAG
RNAcentral lists this ribosomal RNA (603 nucleotides) under Trichoderma virens. RNAcentral's name for it is "eukaryotic LSU rRNA". The stretch from base 226 to 379 matches the Rfam family "5.8S ribosomal RNA". The record is from RNAcentral. Lineage: Eukaryota; Fungi; Ascomycota; Sordariomycetes; Hypocreales; Hypocreaceae.